RNAcentral lists this ribosomal RNA (847 nucleotides) under uncultured bacterium. RNAcentral describes it as "bacterial SSU rRNA". It matches the Rfam family "Bacterial small subunit ribosomal RNA", at positions 471 to 1320 of the family's 1533-position model. The record is from RNAcentral.
GACGGUACCCAAGAAGAAAGCCCCGGCUAACUACGUGCCAGCAGCCGCGGUAAUACGUAGGGGGCGAGCGUUGUCCGGAAUUACUGGGCGUAAAGGGUGCGUAGGCGGCCCUUUAAGUCAGAUGUGAAAGCCCGCAGCUUAACUGCGGAAUUGCAUUUGAAACUGGAGGGCUUGAGUGUCGGAGAGGGUAGUGGAAUUCCCAGUGUAGCGGUGAAAUGCGUAGAUAUUGGGAGGAACACCAGCGGCGAAGGCGACUGCCUGGACGAUAACUGACGCUGAGGCACGAAAGCUAGGGGAGCAAACAGGAUUAGAUACCCUGGUAGUCCUAGCCGUAAACGAUGGGUACUAGGUGUAGGUGGUUUCGAUACCAUCUGUUCCGUAGUUAACGCAUUAAGUACCCCGCCUGGGGAGUACGUGCGCAAGCAUGAAACUCAAAGGAAUUGACGGGGGCCCGCACAAGCGGUGGAGCAUGUGGUUUAAUUCGAAGCAACGCGAAGAACCUUACCAGGUCUUGACAUCCCUGGACAGCUGUGGAAACACAGUUUCCCUUCGGGGCCAGGAGACAGGUGGUGCAUGGUUGUCGUCAGCUCGUGUCGUGAGAUGUUGGGUUAAGUCCCGCAACGAGCGCAACCCUUGCCUUUAGUUGCCAUCAUUAAGUUGGGGACUCUAAAGGGACUGCCGGUGACAAAUCGGAGGAAGGUGGGGAUGACGUCAAAUCAUCAUGCCCCUUAUGAUCUGGGCUACACACGUGCUACAAUGGGUGGUACAGAGGGAAGCGAAGCCGUGAGGCGGAGCGAAUCCCAGAAAGCCACUCUCAGUUCGGAUUGCAGGCUGCAACUCGCCUGCA